CCUACGGGAGGCAGCAGUGAGGAAUAUUCGUCAAUGGACGAGAGUCUGAACGAGCAAAGUAGCGUGAAGGGUGAAUGCCCUCUGGGUUGUAAACUUCUUUUAUAAAGGAAUAAAACGAGGCACGUGUGCCUUUUUGCAUGUACUUUAUGAAUAAGGAUAGGCUAACUCCGUGACAGCAGCCGCGGUAAUACGGAGGAUCCGAGCGUUAUCCGGAUUUAUUGGGUUUAAAGGGAACGUAGAUGGGUUGUUAAGUCAGUUGUGAAAGUUUUCGGCUCAACCGUAAAAUUGCAAUUGAUACUGGUAGUCUUGAGUACAGUUGAGGUAAGCGGAAUUCGUGGUGUAGCGGUGAAAUGCGUAGAUAUAACGAAGAACCCCGAUUGCGAAGGCAGCUUACUAAACUGUGACUGACAUUGAUGUUCGAAAGUGUGGGUAUCAAACAGGAUUAGAUACCCUAGUAGUC
This 460-nucleotide ribosomal RNA is filed under the name uncultured bacterium. Its description in RNAcentral is "partial 16S ribosomal RNA". It matches the Rfam family "Bacterial small subunit ribosomal RNA", at positions 338 to 795 of the family's 1533-position model. The record is from RNAcentral.